GGUGGCUCAGUGGUAGAGCGCUGGCCAUGCAUGCCUGAGGCCCUGGGUUCGAUUCCUUAGCACCA
This is a non-coding RNA of Dipodomys ordii (Ord's kangaroo rat), 65 nucleotides long. NCBI's taxonomy places the organism in Eukaryota, Metazoa, Chordata, Mammalia, Rodentia, Heteromyidae. The record is from Rfam.